CAAGAGGAGAGGGGGCGGGGCAGGGGAGCGAGCGAUACCCCGCCCACCGGGCGUGUCCCUGGCCCGGCCCCUCCCCCUGCCGCCUGGAGGACUCCGCGCAGCGCGGAGCAGGAGCUGCGCCGAGCCCAGCGAGGAAAGAGCGCCGCGCAGCCCCGCCGCAGGGUGACCUUCAACCGCAAAGCUGCUGUCCACGUGGACUGGGGCUCAGAUCGUGCGCCCAUCCGCCAGGACCCCCACAUCCAAACUCCGAGACAUGGCGACCAAUGGCAGCAAGGUGGCGCCGGGGGCAGAUCUCCACAGAAGUCAGUGAGGACCCCCUUGGCCAAGCGACAAGCCCAAAACCCUGGUGGUCAAGGUGCAGAAGAAGGCCGGGGACCUUCCCGAUCGAGAUACAUGGAAGGGCCGCUUCGACUUCCUCAUGUCCUGUGUGGGCCUACGCCAUUGGCCUGGGCAAUGUCCGGGAGGUUCCCCUACCUCUGUGGGAAGAAUGGCGGGGGGGCCUUCCUGAUCCCCUACUUCCUGGCGCUCAUCUUUGCGGGGUCCCGCUCUUUCAUGCUGGAGUGCUCCCCUGGGCCAGUACACGUCCAUCGGGGGGCUUGGGUGUGUGGAAGCUGGCCCCCCCAUGUUCAAGG
This 632-nucleotide long non-coding RNA is filed under the name Heterocephalus glaber (naked mole-rat). RNAcentral's name for it is "lncRNA (ENSHGLG00000040306.1)". Lineage: Eukaryota; Metazoa; Chordata; Mammalia; Rodentia; Bathyergidae. The record is from RNAcentral.